This is a long non-coding RNA of Solea senegalensis (Senegalese sole), 628 nucleotides long. RefSeq lists it as uncharacterized. The transcript is spliced from 3 exons. The record is from RefSeq and is a predicted model, not a curated record. Lineage: Eukaryota; Metazoa; Chordata; Actinopteri; Pleuronectiformes; Soleidae.
UUCUUUUCUGAAAGAAACAAGAAUCAGUCCACUCUUACAUCAACUGCACAUGAAUAAUUUAAAGCUCUUUACAGUGACACGAGCACAGGGUAACGAUGGGGUCAGAAACACUUUUAACACAGUACAGUACGCCCAAACCUUCAGCCACAGCUACAUUUAGCGCACUUUGUGGUCAAAGCUCACCCCAUGCCGGCUCCUCUCUGGCCUAUCACUGACUCCAGCUCGUCCAGGAAGAUGGUGGAUGGGGCGUGGUAUCUGGCCAGCAGAAACAAGACCUGUACAGAAAGAUGCACAAAUUUCUCAGAGUCUCCCCUCCACUUGCUGACGAUGCUUGAGGCAGAGAUGUUGAAGAAGGUCGUCUUGCACUCGGUGGCCACAGCCUUGGCCAGCAGGGUCUUGCCUGUACCUGUGUGUGUGUGUGUGUGUGUGUGUGUGAAACACAUGCUCACAAUUCUACUUUUCAACCAUGAAUUAAAGAGACCCAGACAAAGCCAUACAGCACUGGAGGUCUUACCUGGGGGGCCGUAGAGCAGCAGGCCCUUCCACGGAGAGCGGAUGCCUGUAAACAGCUGAGGAUACUGUAAAGACAGUGAGAAAAAAGUGUCAAAAAUGUGCUAAUAAGACAGAA